RNAcentral lists this ribosomal RNA (450 nucleotides) under uncultured organism. RNAcentral describes it as "partial 16S ribosomal RNA". It matches the Rfam family "Bacterial small subunit ribosomal RNA", at positions 335 to 801 of the family's 1533-position model. The record is from RNAcentral.
ACUCCUGCGGGAGGCAGCAGUGGGGAAUAUUGGACAAUGGGCGCAAGCCUGAUCCAGCCAUGCCGCGUGAGUGAUGAAGGCCCUAGGGUUGUAAAGCUCUUUCACCGGUGAAGAUAAUGACGGUAACCGGAGAAGAAGCCCCGGCUAACUUCGUGCCAGCAGCCGCGGUAAUACGAAGGGGGCUAGCGUUGUUCGGAUUUACUGGGCGUAAAGCGCACGUAGGCGGACUAUUAAGUCAGGGGUGAAAUCCCGGGGCUCAACCCCGGAACUGCCUUUGAUACUGGUAGUCUUGAGUUCGAGAGAGGUGAGUGGAAUUCCGAGUGUAGAGGUGAAAUUCGUAGAUAUUCGGAGGAACACCAGUGGCGAAGGCGGCUCACUGGCUCGAUACUGACGCUGAGGUGCGAAAGCGUGGGGAGCAAACAGGAUUAGAAACCCGUGUAGUCCCAUGAU